GCCCAGAUGGGAUUAGCUUGUUGGUGAGGUAACGGCUCACCAAGGCGACGAUCCCUAGCUGGUCUGAGAGGAUGACCAGCCACACUGGAACUGAGACACGGUCCAGACUCCUACGGGAGGCAGCAGUGGGGAAUAUUGCACAAUGGGCGCAAGCCUGAUGCAGCCAUGCCGCGUGUAUGAAGAAGGCCUUCGGGUUGUAAAGUACUUUCAGCGGGGAGGAAGGUGUUGUGGUUAAUAACCGCAGCAAUUGACGUUACCCGCAGAAGAAGCACCGGCUAACUCCGUGCCAGCAGCCGCGGUAAUACGGAGGGUGCAAGCGUUAAUCGGAAUUACUGGGCGUAAAGCGCACGCAGGCGGUCUGUCAAGUCGGAUGUGAAAUCCCCGGGCUCAACCUGGGAACUGCAUUCGAAACUGGCAGGCUUGAGUCUUGUAGAGGGGGGUAGAAUUCCAGGUGUAGCGGUGAAAUGCGUAGAGAUCUGGAGGAAUACCGGUGGCGAAGGCGGCCCCCUGGA
RNAcentral lists this ribosomal RNA (512 nucleotides) under Salmonella enterica. Its description in RNAcentral is "bacterial SSU rRNA". It matches the Rfam family "Bacterial small subunit ribosomal RNA", at positions 229 to 733 of the family's 1533-position model. Lineage: Bacteria; Pseudomonadati; Pseudomonadota; Gammaproteobacteria; Enterobacterales; Enterobacteriaceae. RNAcentral also lists the same sequence under 1 other name. The record is from RNAcentral.